UAAAAAAUAAUCAGACAGCAAAAAAAAAAAUAAAUAAAAUUUCUAACAACAUAUAAACAACUCCUUUCUCUCAAACAUGUGUUCUUUUGUUUGAAACCCAGGAAUUUCAAAAUUACAUUCUGCUAUAGUUUUAUGAAAGUCAGCUUAGGGGGAACAGUGAUCCACUAUGCUCCCAUAAUCCAUGAAUUGUUUUCCCUUGAUUAAAUGACAUCAAAACCAUUACUAAAUUGUUUCCAUUUCUUUAUUUAUAGUUCUGGCAAUGAGAUGAGACCCUAAGACAGCUUUUGAAAAUUCCGGGGUGACUCCUAGAUGCAGGUGAAGGUACCCACAGAGCCUUUAUUGUUUGCUGCCUCUUUAGCAGCUUUCUAGGAUCUCUGUUGAAGGCAAUGCAUGUAAAACCCCUCACUGAAGUGUGAAUGAUUGGAGGAGGAAAGCUUGUAAAGGAGAGCUUCUCUGGGAACCACCAUGUAAUUAUGUCACAGAAUGAGUACGCUGUCUGUGGUACAGAUCACAUCCUGCAUCUGAGGCUGACAGGUAAGCCUCUGAUUAUUCUUAUGUAUUCAACUUGAAACCACAAUUGCAGGCUAGUGUGCCUGGGUAGACUGGGACUUGAGAUGACCGCUAUUUAGUGAAUACCUAUUAUGUGUCAGGCCCUGUUAGGUGGUUUAAAAUGUUUCUAAUUAGCCUUAAACAUUUAGUGUUAUCUUUCUAGUAUGUAUGCAAGAAAAUUAAAACUCAGAAAGGUUAAAUAGUUUACUAAGAAUACAUGGCUAUUAAAUGACAAUCUGGGAUUUCAUCCCUAAAUCUAUGGUAUUUCUACUACAACUUACUGUGCACAGAGGUGAUUAAUAGAAUGAAAGAAUCACUGAGGAUGGAACAGGUGGAAAUGGCCUUAUUUCAUGCUCCAAAUAUUAUGGCAUUCAGUUUUGGUAACUCAAUAACAGGGCAGUCAUUCCUUUCAUUACUAUCAACUCUUAUAAUAUUACUACUGGAUUUCUGGCUUGUGUGACAGACAGGAAAACAUAUUUUGGGAAAAACAGUUCAUUUGAUUUAAGUAUGUUUGAAUAUGCUUAAAUGAUGGCAUUCAUAAGAUAUCCAGUUCACAUUUUUUAAUUCAGUGGAAAGGAAAUUCUUCAAGGAAGCAACAGCCCAUGUACACUGAGGGGGCAGUGCCUUUUGACUGUACUCUAUGUAAACACAGAAAUACUAUGUGGCCCUUUUCAUGUCCUUUGAGUAUCAGAAUGAAUCACUGUAAAGGGACAAACUUAAUCAUUUUUCAAAGCUGCCAGCUGGAAUCUUAACUGGAAAUUCUGCAGGAUGACAAUGCCUAUUAAUGCUUUCAGUUGUUUUUAUGAGCAAAAAAAAAAAAAAAAAAUGCUGGAUCAUUCAUUCUUAAAGGAUUAUUAUUGUAACUGUUGUUUUAGUGGUAUGAAGGUAUGUUUCCUAUUUCUUGUGAUUUAUGACUCUACAUCCUUAUGAAUGGCAGCAAUUUUCCACAGGGAACUGUGCAAUGAAAGGAAAGGAUUAAAAGAUAAUUGAUCCCACAUCCUAUGGAAUAGUUGUUAAUCUGUGUUGUAAAGACCUCUUGUUUUUAUUUGUUUGUUUUGUAAUUAUUUUACUUACCUGCUUCUAUAUUGUUUUGUAAUGGACUAAUGUUUUCCCAGUUAUGCUUGGCAUUAUACAAGGCAAUUCUCUAGAUAACAGAGAAUGAUUCAUUAAAAACUGAUAAUGCAAAUUUAUCAUGUCUAUAAAUUAUCAAAAGUUUAAAACAGAUAUCUGAUUUUUCAACUUUUAAGUAAGAUAUCUGGAUCUUUAUUUUUGACUACUUUUAUAAUUUUCUUUGAAAAUAUAUACUUAAUGGUAUUUCUUGAUAGUAAAUAAAAUGUGAAAUAGAGUUGAGUUGUGUUUUUCUGAAUUACUAAUAGGUAGAGCACAGAAUCUACCUACGAUUCUGUAAAUUGACCUUAAAUACUGGAUUAAGUACAAGUACAUAAUUUUUAUUAUAACUCUAUUAUAGUAUGUAUAGAGACUAAAUUUUUAAACACAUUUUAGUAUUAUCACAACUACAUAUUUUUAAAUGUUAGAGCCUUCUCAAUGCUAUAGAAGAUCACUUUUAUCCUAUUCAAAAUAAGUGUUUGACCGUUCAUACUCAAAAAGUUAACAUGUCCAAAUUAAAUAUUUUUUCCUCUUCAUUCACUACAGAAAAUACAUAUCUAGUCAUCAACUUUUCAUACUGACUCAUGACAUGAUUUCCUUAACAAGUUCAUUUGAAGGUCAUUGAUGUUUUGCUUUCCAAGUAUUUCAGUAUCACUGGGUGUUGUACAUUGUAACAGAAGUUUAAUGUGAGAUGAUAAAAAUUUUGUAUAAAACUACAGGCAGUUUUACACGACAGAAAAUGUGUGUCAUGUUAAAUACAGUGGUGGUAUGUUUUCCAUAUUGUAUUCUUUACAUUAAACAUGAAGUAUUUCCGGUGGUAAUAUUAAAACAGUCUCUUAAAAAUAGAAAAACUAGAGAGUUUAGAUAGUAUGAAAGAUCAAAAUAAAAAUGAUCUGUAAGUGAUCACUUUUGAUUGGGUGACUUUACCAAUAGCAGAGUGUCUGUGUUUUGUAGAAUAUAAUACUUCAUUAACAUCUUUCUGUGACAAGUGCAAUCCUCCUGAAAUUUACCUUCAGGAAUUUAUGUAUUUAUUUGUUUAUUUUUGUCUUUCGGGGACUGCAACCACAGUAUAUGAAAGUUCUCACGCUAGGGGUGGAAUUGUAGCUGCAGCUGC
Molecule: long non-coding RNA, 2770 nt
Organism: Sus scrofa (pig)
Lineage: Eukaryota; Metazoa; Chordata; Mammalia; Artiodactyla; Suidae
Source: RefSeq, a predicted model, not a curated record